Molecule: long non-coding RNA, 708 nt
Filed under: Callithrix jacchus (white-tufted-ear marmoset)
Lineage: Eukaryota; Metazoa; Chordata; Mammalia; Primates; Cebidae
Description: lncRNA (ENSCJAG00000052729.2)
Source: RNAcentral
GUUAUAUAUUCCAAUAUAAUUGUAUAAACAUGUAUUUUUAUAUGAUGGCAAAAGUUGGUUCAUAGGCUUGGAGAAAUAAUUUUCCCGGCAAUGUUCAUAUGUUUAUAUGUUCAUGGCAUAAGCAAAUAACAUUCUAAUUUAUUUUGUAAAUUUACAUUGUAUUCAAGCUUACAUCUAACAAUUUUCUGAAUCUAAUUUAAGAAGUUUUCAUAAUUCACUAUUUGAAAACAUAUCAGUCAUUUUUUUUCUUCCUUGCAAAAACUUCUGUACUUUUUCUCUCAAGGUCAGACAGACCUGAAUUUGAUAGCAACAGAGCUUCAGCAAUAACAGCAGAUGCCAUCUUAGAUUAAUGAAAGUCUUCAAAAGUAUACCAUCAAUCACUGAACAUGUGCAUGAAGUGACCUUCAUGUCCAUUUUUUGUUCUACAUAAUUUUCCUCUCCUUGGACAAAUUUUUCAAGAGCAAACUGGGGAUGUAGCAUUGACCCAGCCUGCUCAAUGUGCAGGACUCAUGCCUGCAAGCACCGGGACUCCUAAGAAUUAUCACUGUGCGUUUCUGUGUCAUAUCAGCAAGCUCAUCUGCAGAAAUACAUUCUGACUGAGUAACCCUGAGGUAGGCAAUGCUUAAUUCUCCAUUUCAAAAUCUUCCAGGAAUGGAAAAAUGAUUCAGCUGGAAGGCAUCUGCACUGCCAGAACCCUAUUAUCCUAAC